Molecule: long non-coding RNA, 844 nt
Organism: Neofelis nebulosa (Clouded leopard)
Lineage: Eukaryota; Metazoa; Chordata; Mammalia; Carnivora; Felidae
Exons: 2
Source: RefSeq, a predicted model, not a curated record
CUUCAUAUCUUCCUUCCCUCAAUGUGCUUUGUUAAAAUUGUGAUGAGGUUCAAUAUGUCUUUACAACUUGUUUUAGAUUGUGUUUUGGUUAUCUACUGCUGCAUAAUAAGCCACCCCAAAAUUAUUAUGCUCACAAAUUCUAUAGAUAAGGAAUUCUAACAGAGCACAGUGGGGAUGGCUUGUCUGUUACAGGAUGUCUGGGCGUUGCAGCUGGGAAUAUUUGAACAACUGGGGAUAACUUUAAAGAGCAGAACAGAGAGAGCAGGAUCUCAUGUCUCUUCUUACAAGGGCACUAGUCCUGUUCAUAAGGAAUCUAUUCUCGUGACCUAUUUACCUCCCAAGGGCCCCACCUCCUAACAGGAUCAUAUUAGGGGUUAGGAUUUUAACAUAUGAGUUGGGAGGGGGACAUGUUCAGUCUAUAACAUAUGUGUUGGCUUAGAGCUCUAAGAGCAAAUAUUCCAGAAAACAAGGCUAAAGCUGCAUGGAUCUUUAUAAUUCGCCUCCAUAAUCCUCUAGGCUGAUAGAGUCACAAACUCACUUACAUUCAAGGAGGGGGGGUAUAGACUCCACAUUUCAGUGGGAAGUAUAUCAGUGGAUUUGUCUGAUUAUCCAAUAUUCAUUAGGUCUGUUCACUAUGUAGAGAAGUGAAAUCUUAAAGAUUAAGCCAAAGAUAUGGUUAAUAAUGUGGAUAAUUUGCUUUUUAAAUAAUGAAUUAAAAAUAAUUUUUUAAUUGCUCAACAAAAAGACUGCCAUAAAUGAUGGGUAGUAUUUCUCAACCUGUAUUUCUUGUAUAGAGAUCUAGAGCCAUCUUACAAAAUAAACAAAAAUUCUUAUUUCCAAGUAA